AGCGAACGCUGGCGGCAGGCCUAACACAUGCAAGUCGAACGAACCUUUCGGGGUUAGUGGCGGACGGGUGAGUAACACGUGGGAACGUGCCUUUAGGUUCGGAAUAACUCAGGGAAACUUGUGCUAAUACCGAAUGUGCCCUUCGGGGGAAAGAUCUAUCGCCUUUAGAGCGGCCCGCGUCUGAUUAGCUAGUUGGUUGAGGUAAUGGCUCACCAAGGCGACGAUCAGUAGCUGGUCUGAGAGGAUGAUCAGCCACAUUGGGACUGAGACACGGCCCAAACUCCUACGGGAGGCAGCAGUGGGGAAUCUUGCGCAAUGGGCGAAAGCCUGACGCAGCCAUGCCGCGUGAAUGAUGAAGGUCUUAGGAUUGUAAAAUUCUUUCACCGGGGACGAUAAUGACGGUACCCGGAGAAGAAACCCCGGCUAACUUCGU
RNAcentral lists this ribosomal RNA (433 nucleotides) under uncultured bacterium. RNAcentral describes it as "partial 16S ribosomal RNA". It matches the Rfam family "Bacterial small subunit ribosomal RNA", at positions 29 to 506 of the family's 1533-position model. The record is from RNAcentral.